Molecule: long non-coding RNA, 507 nt
Organism: Anastrepha ludens (Mexican fruit fly)
Lineage: Eukaryota; Metazoa; Arthropoda; Insecta; Diptera; Tephritidae
Exons: 4
Source: RefSeq, a predicted model, not a curated record
ACUCAUAUGGAAAAUCAUGAUUCAAUUAUAGAAGGUUAGGUAAGUAAGCAGCUUUCUCGCUCCCUCUUGACAAAUCGGCUCCUUUAUUUGAAAACAUGUUGCUUCUUUACAAAUAUUCCUACAUAUUUUACGAAAAAACUUUUAAAUUGUAGUAAAAAUUAAACUUUUGGUGCAAAUUAUGUGGUCGGCAACAUCGUUUUCACUUUGACGCUUUGCCUUGUUAUUAUUCGUUGAAAAUCAUUUAUCUGCUUGUAAACGUUCAAGUCGAUUAUGUCUUACAUAUGGUGGUAGUCGAUUAUUUGGAGUCGCCUUUCUGCUGCCGAAAACUACCGGUUGGUGAAUUUUCAUACACGUUUUUAGAACAGCGUUUUUGCAAAUAUAAAAGUGACCACCUUACAUACAAUACAUAAACAGUUAGACUUCACAGACGAGCAAGUGCAGCGGAAGAUGUGUGUUGAAGAGCUGGUUUUUAGAAACGAAGGCAAGUAUGCGCGUAUUUCUACCAUU